UUGCAUUCACACUUCACGGUAUCUUAUUGAAUAAGAUACCGUGAAGUGUGAAUGCAAAGAGAAACGAGAAGAAACCCACCGGCAGAAAUCCUUUACACUC
Juglans regia (Persian walnut) is the source of this 100-nucleotide small nucleolar RNA. RefSeq annotates it as small nucleolar RNA SNORA14. The record is from RefSeq and is a predicted model, not a curated record. The transcript has a single exon. Lineage: Eukaryota; Viridiplantae; Streptophyta; Magnoliopsida; Fagales; Juglandaceae.